RNAcentral lists this transfer RNA (98 nucleotides) under Klebsiella pneumoniae. RNAcentral's name for it is "tRNA-Ser(gct)". It matches the Rfam family "tRNA". Rfam says of the family: Transfer RNA (tRNA) molecules are approximately 80 nucleotides in length. The record is from RNAcentral. RNAcentral also lists the same sequence under 3 other names. Lineage: Bacteria; Pseudomonadati; Pseudomonadota; Gammaproteobacteria; Enterobacterales; Enterobacteriaceae.
GGAUAGUUGGCUGAGUGGACGAAAGCAGUCGGUUGCUAACCGAUCGGGUGGGUCAUAUGGCUGUCGCCCCGCAGGUUCGAAUCCUGCACUAUCCGCCA